UACGAAGGGUGCAAGCGUUACUCGGAAUUACUGGGCGUAAAGCGUGCGUAGGCGGUUUGUUAAGUCUGUCGUGAAAGCCCCGGGCUCAACCCGGGAACUGCGUCCGAUACUGGAAGGCUUGAAUCCGGGAGAGGGAUGCGGAAUUCCAGGUGUAGCGGUGAAAUGCGUAGAUAUCUGGAGGAACACCGGUGGCGAAGGCGGCAUCCUGGACCGGUAUUGACGCUGAGGCGCGAAAGCCAGGGGAGCAAACGGG
RNAcentral lists this ribosomal RNA (253 nucleotides) under uncultured bacterium. RNAcentral describes it as "partial 16S ribosomal RNA". It matches the Rfam family "Bacterial small subunit ribosomal RNA", at positions 524 to 776 of the family's 1533-position model. The record is from RNAcentral.